AGAUUAAUAAAGAGACUGAGACAAGAAACAUUUGUCAAACUCUGUCUUGAGAAGGCAAAGAUUUCACACCUGUUUUUGGAUAUUAGGCUUUUUAAGGCUAUGUUUGUUUGCUUUACUUUGUUCUCAGACCAUUUUGAAGAGGUUAAAUCGUGUAAUAAAUUUUUCCCAGUGUUCUGUUUCUACGUUAUACUCCUCUGCAGCAUGUUUAACUUCAUGAAAUUUCUCAACUUCAAAUCUGUUCUCUUCCAUUCGCUUGUUAUCAUAGAGUAAAUGUCUCAUUAUGG
RNAcentral lists this long non-coding RNA (284 nucleotides) under Capsella grandiflora. RNAcentral describes it as "long non-coding RNA (CGRA_LNC001234)". The record is from RNAcentral. Lineage: Eukaryota; Viridiplantae; Streptophyta; Magnoliopsida; Brassicales; Brassicaceae.